Long non-coding RNA from Passer domesticus (house sparrow), 2092 nucleotides. RefSeq lists it as uncharacterized. The record is from RefSeq and is a predicted model, not a curated record. The transcript has 4 exons. NCBI's taxonomy places the organism in Eukaryota, Metazoa, Chordata, Aves, Passeriformes, Passeridae.
UUCUUACCUGCUCGGUGGAAGACAGGGGAAGGCUGGACCACCUUUCCGAGAAACUCAUGGAUCUCAGCAGGGUGUGGAUGUCCUGCUCCUCACCCAGACGGUGUUUGGGAGAAAAGGGGGCUGCGAAGUUGUGGGAAUUUGGAGAAAAGAGGUCGGAGGUGCGAACGCUCCUGCGGCUGGAGCCAGCACGGCUCUGCCGGUUGGUUCACAGCAGAGCUGUGAUCAACAGGGAUGGGGAUGUCAAGCUGGGACUUGUCUCCUCAGCAAGGAAAGGGAACAGCAGAGAUUACUAAGCGAUGCAGGAAUGUGGUUUGUUUAAUAUGAGCCAUCAACACAGAAGAGUAAAAUAAUGACAGAUGUGUAAUCACAUUUCCUGAGUCUAAAACCAUGAGAUCGAGAAUUUAAACACCACUUUUCCCAAGAUCAAGAAGAGGAGCCGUUUGGCUAAGAACUGAUUUGGUUACUAAUUUCCUUGGCAUUAAAUCAGCUGUUUCCCCAAUCUCUUGACAGGCUUUGCUCCAAGGACGGGGCUGGUCCCUGGCUUGCUUUGAUGUGAGGGUAAGCAGAGAGGGAAGAUGCUUUGGAAACAGGGAUUCACCAACUGACCGAGCUGGCCUGGAUCAGAGGCUCCUCAGCAUUGCUUAAUUGGUUUAUUUUAAUGAAAGAUGGCGAGAUAAAUUUCACAUGGAUCUUUAUCGGGGGAGCGGCGAGUGGUGGGAGACAGAAAUCCAGAGCUGGGUUAAUCCAACCUUCCAAGGGCAGGAUGGGGGAAAGGAGAGCUCUUUCCCCAUCAUGGAAAGCCAGAAUUUCUGCAAGGCUGGAUUGCAGAAGACACGUGGCUGAGGGACACCAGACCACAACCCACCAGGACUGGGGGAUGAGGUCUCUGCUCAGCCCCUGGACAUGGCACUGUCCCAAAGGUCACGGGUGCAGGACCUGGAAGGGAGCGGUUCCAUGGUGGGGUAGGGCUGGGAGGGAACCGUGUCAUUUGCUUGUCAGAUGUUUCCAUGUGUCUCUUGAGAUCAAAAGUGGGAAAAACACCGAGUAGGGAAGGUGCUGCUGGCACAGGAGGUGGCCUUAGAGAGACUCCAGUCUGCCUCUCUUCUGGAUUUGGGAAGCGUGUUCUCUCUCCAAAAGGAAAGGCUGAGAAACCAGGGGGUGUUCACCUGGAGAGGAGAAGGCUCCAGAGAGCCCCUUCCAGGGCCUGAAGGGCUCCAGGAGAGCUGGAGACAGACUGGGGAUAAGGGAUGGAGGGACACAACAAGGGGGAAUGGCUUCCCACUAACAGAUGGGAUACUGGGAAGAAAUUCUUCUCUGUGAGGGUGGUUUAGGAAGCUGGGAAAGCCAAAACAGAGGUGCCCAAGGAUGCAGGACCACUCUCCUAGGUCAUGGGAAACACAAAACCAUUUAAGGCCUAACAGGGAGAAUAAAGAGCAAAACAUAUUAAUUUGUUUUGUAUUUUUCUUCAUGUCCCUAUGUUGGAAGUCGCCAGUGCUGGUGGGAAUUCAUCCCUGCCCACAUCUGAAGGAGCUGUGCUGACCCUACAGCUGAUGGUGCAGAGGUGCCAUCAGCUCACACCUCCCUGCUGUGAGCCUGGGAAUGUUCCUGCAUUUCCAGGAUUCUGUGCUGUGCCGAUGCCAGGGAUUAACUAAGAGCAUGACUCAACGAACCAGUUCAGACCAAGCAAGAACAACCCUUCAUUUUUCUUCCAAGAUUCUGGCUCAGCCCGGCACAGGCUGUUCUGGAGCAUCAGAAAAGGAGCUGCUUCCAAGCCUGAGAGCCCCGACGCUGCCAGGAGCUCACCAGGACCAACCUGCACUGCUUGGGAUUGCCCAGGUGGGAUCCCACAUGUGCACUGCUCAUCCUGGAUGAGAAACAUCAAGGAGACAUUGGAAACUUUCUGCUUCCAAACAACCAGGGCUUUCUGUUCAGCAGUGACCUCAGUGGGAAGAAAAAUUGCUGCACAAAGGGACGGGGAGCUGACGCCAGGAGCAAAACCUCGGCGCUGGUCCCACGAGCAGCUCUGGGUGGGUCCAGACAAAGCAUUUUUCAGAGAUUUUGUAAAAGUAGUGGAAUAAAAAUCCCUCCAAAA